CACGACCAAAAAAAAGCUUCUUCUCAAAAAGAGGCUAUUUAGAAAAAUUCUUUUGAAAAAAAUAAGAAAUGGGAGAUUUGAAAAUUUUUCACCGCCUUUUCAUUUAUUCCAUUUUUUUUACAUUUUUUUAAAAUUUAGAAAUUGAGCUAGUCUUUUUCUUGAAAAGGAGAUGAUUUAGAAAAGCUCUGCCCAAAAAUGAAAAAAAUUUCAAACAUCAACUUUUCAUUUAUUUUUGAUAACUUUAAAACCAAAAAAAAAAAAAAAAAAACACAUUUGUAGGGGGAGAUUAUGCAUAUCUGGGGUGCUGGUUACUUCGAUCCUUAGCUUCUAGGAAAGGAUUCAUGAAAGUAACAAAUCUCUCUACAUGAUCAGGACCCUCUGAGUACCAUUGGUUCAGACCGAGAACCUCACGGGGGUCCAACCCUAAAUACGAGUUGGGUAUUGGUCCAGAACAAAUAAAAACUUGUAAAUUGGGAAUUUACUCCUCGUUAUUUCCUCUGGGCAAGUGACCGCACAACCAAUAUUAUCAUAGGACGAAUUUGAGUGUUGGGAAACGAAUAGUAAUUACGUAAAUAAGAACACAGAUCUUCUUCAAGUACAUCUAAUUAUCUCAAAUUACGAGAAAAGAACAACAUGAAGUUGAUAUCUCUUGAGAGUAAUUAUUGGAGAAGGAAAGGGAGGUUGAGAAUUACUACAAAUUCGUAGCCUAUUCUCGGAUUGGUAUUUUUUGGAUAAAAAAUUGGUAAAGAAAAGAUAAAUACCUGGGAUUGUGUUGAGUUGGGAAGACAAUAUAAUUAAUUCCAACCAUACUAGGAAUUAAUUAAAAAUUGCUUGUUGUAUGGUGAUACACUUCCGGAAGUUCCAAUACACCUGACUUUAUAGAAUUAAUAAUUAUAGGGAGUAUCACAAGUCAGUGUGAAAAGAUUCCCUAUCCAAUUAAAUUGGACACGUAAAUAAGAGGCACUUCCGUAAAUAGUGACCCCUGAGCUCCACGUACUUGGCUAGUUUCAUCCACUGCGUUAUAGAACGAAUAGAAUUAGUAGAAUGAAUAUUCUGACCCCCGAAUCCACACUGGUAGCCCCCCAAGCCUCAGAGAGUCUAGGAGAGCUGACCAGGCAGUUCGGCAGUACAUUGGAUACUGACUGUACAGUGGAACUAGCAACUAUGAGCUAAGGGUAAAAAUGAGUCUGGACCAAGCAGCAGAGGCAGCGGAUGCGCGCGUUUCUGGGCUAUGAUUGGUUAAAUAUUGUGUCAUGAGAUCGCGGAAAUACCCAUGUAAUGAUGGUAUCCGCGAGCAGAAUAUUCGCGUCAGGUUGGGCAAUAUAGUAAAUGUUUUUUCUCCCAGUUAGGUAGCAGAAAAAGCUGUUUUUUCUCCCUCUACAAAUGCCCCGAUUUAGGUGACAGAUGAACAAGGGAGAAAUAUGGUACGUAAAUCAAUAAGAAGCGGGAGAACAGAAUCAAUAGAAUCAAUAAUCUUCAUAUUCAGCAUCAGUAAUCUGCAUGCCCAACCUAUCAGCUAAUCAAUAGAAUUAAUAGAAUCAAUGAUGAUCAUCCGCGCCCACUGCCCCGAAUUAUGUAGUAUAUUUACGUGCUUGUGAAGUGUGUACCGGAAGUAAUAGAAUUAAUAAGAAAUCCCUACAACUCAAUCAAGAUAUUCCAGGGAUAAAGAUAGAAGAAAGGUACAUGGAAAAUUAAACUCAAGAGUAAAAAAUACAAAGUAGAAAAAUGCAUAAAAAGUUACAAAAUACAGUAAGUGAAAAAUGCAUAAGUAGUUAAAGUAGAGAAUAAAAAAUAACAACAAUAUUUACAGUAUGAAAAAAUGAAAAAAAAAAAUAUCAGGUAUUUUCGUAAAUAAAAGUUGAAACUUGAAAAUACAAUGAACUGGAAAUAUUCAAACGUAUGUAAAAAAUUCAUUUCCAUGUAUGAGAAUAAAAUUGUAAAAACUCAUUAUUAAUUGUAACAUUUUUUUAUUUUUUUUUUAUUUAGGAGUACCAAUGGGAAGAAUACAUACCGCAUUGAAAUCGUGCAGAGUCAACUUACAUGAAUGCAGAAUCAGUGAAGAAGCUCCUCUAAAGCUCGGAGAGUUCGGUCGCUUGAGGUAUGGUUUUCGUAGUCGCUUAUCAGCUAGAAAUGGAAUUAAUCCCAGCAAGAUUUCGAGAUGGAAACUCUGCGGUAGUACUGGAAGAUCAUUCUCAGUUGGAUCCUGUCUAUCGAUUAUUGUUUCAAUUUCAUGAAGGUAGAUGAUUCGUCGUGUAUUACUGAAUAAUACAGCCUUGUAUCGGAGCCAAGCGCGAAAAUCUUUGCAAAGCUGAUCAUUUUCUUUAGUAUAAUUGGAGCUGGAACAGGCGCUGCUUCGUGUAUGUGUGCUGGAGCCGAUGGCUGGAGUACUGGAUGAAAGACUUCUUCGAAGUUGAUAUCUGAUGUGGUCGAUGAAGCUGAAGAAAUCGAGUAUUGAUCGCAUUGACGUGGAGGUUUAGCAGACGUACCGGAAUCAGAUGGCAGCGGCGAAUCGAUUUUGGCUGGAACAGCAGCUUUUUCAUCAUCAGAGCUCGAUUCGGACAGAUUUAUCUCAGGAAUGGCGAUCGCUGGCAUCGACGCUGGAGCGGAGAAGCUGUCGAAGUUCGGAAGCUAGCUGGGAAUUACGUUCGUGCUGAUUAUUCAUCGCGAUAUUCAUCUCAGUGAGCUGAGCUCUGGUAGCGUUAUUGAUGAUGAGGCGAAUGCUUUCGGCGAUUGGUGAUUUUUGAACGACGAUCUCACGUAGCGCUUUGAUAUUAAUAUUCGCGACGCACUUUUUGAACGGACAAAGUAUUUUUCGCUCUUUAAGAGUUUUUGUUUUAAUCAUAAAGCACUUCAAGUGCACCAAAUGGUUACACUCCUUACCAGUGAUUAAUACCGCAGGUCCAGUGGCACCGGAUGGAGGAACAGCAAGCGAACCGUCACAGAAAGGGCAGACAGCUAUCGAGAGCUCACAAGUAUGAUCGAUUUCCGCGUUGGCCAUAGUAUCGACGAACUAAUUAGAAUCAACAGAAAAAAUCACCGGAGUCUCGAACAAAUAAACGGCUUGAGUAACGAACGAACUGAACGAAGACAUACAAUCCUUACGAAGAACAGAUUACUUAUGAAGACAGAAUCAGUACUUGCGUAAAUUCCUGGUGCAAAAAAUGGCCUAAAAGGCUGACGGUGGAAGGGAUUAUCUCGCAAAUAUCUUGUUAAAUGUUGGGUAAAGGGAGUAGAAAGCUAUCUGCGAUAGCUGUAGAUUAUCGCUAGAUGUCUGGCAAAUUCUAUAUUUAAUCCCUUAUCUAUUGUAGACAGCAUUGUUAGAAUAAUUGCAUUUUAGAAGAUAUAUUUGUUGAUAAUUUCUGUCUGUAUGCUAUUUUUAUCCUUGAAUAAAUAGAAUCAAUAGAAUCAA
This is a long non-coding RNA of Planococcus citri (citrus mealybug), 3409 nucleotides long. RefSeq lists it as uncharacterized. NCBI's taxonomy places the organism in Eukaryota, Metazoa, Arthropoda, Insecta, Hemiptera, Pseudococcidae. The record is from RefSeq and is a predicted model, not a curated record. The transcript has 5 exons.